RNAcentral lists this ribosomal RNA (460 nucleotides) under uncultured bacterium. RNAcentral's name for it is "partial 16S ribosomal RNA". It matches the Rfam family "Bacterial small subunit ribosomal RNA", at positions 338 to 795 of the family's 1533-position model. The record is from RNAcentral.
CCUACGGGAGGCUGCAGUGAGGAAUAUUGGUCAAUGGACGGAAGUCUGAACCAGCCAUGCCGCGUGCAGGAUGACGGCUCUAUGAGUUGUAAACUGCUUUUGUACGAGGGUAAACCCCGAUACGUGUAUCGGGUUGAAAGUAGCGUACGAAUAAGGAUCGGCUAACUCCGUGCCAGCAGCCGCGGUAAUACGGAGGAUCCGAGCGUUAUCCGGAGUUAUUGGGUUGAAAGGGUGCGUAGGCGGUUUGAUAAGUGAGAGGUGAAAUGUCUGGGCUCAACCCCGAAACUGCCUCUAAUACUGUUGGACUAGAGAAUAGUUGAGGUAGGCGGAAUGUAUGGUGUAGCGGUGAAAUGCUUAGAGAUCAUGCAGAACACCGAUUGCGAAGGCAGCUUACCAAACUAUAUCUGACGUUGAGGCUCGAAAGCGUGGGUAGCGAACAGGAUUAGAUACCCUGGUAGUC